Molecule: ribosomal RNA, 253 nt
Filed under: uncultured bacterium
Lineage: Bacteria
Description: partial 16S ribosomal RNA
Rfam family: Bacterial small subunit ribosomal RNA
Source: RNAcentral
UACAGAGGGUGCAAGCGUUAAUCGGAUUUACUGGGCGUAAAGCGUGCGUAGGCGGCUAAUUAAGUCGGAUGUGAAAUCCCCGAGCUCAACUUGGGAAUUGCAUUCGAUACUGGUUAGCUAGAGUAUGGGAGAGGAUGGUAGAAUUCCAGGUGUAGCGGUGAAAUGCGUAGAGAUCUGGAGGAAUACCGAUGGCGAAGGCAGCCAUCUGGCCUAAUACUGACGCUGAGGUACGAAAGCAUGGGGAGCAAACAGG